Varanus komodoensis (Komodo dragon) is the source of this 1336-nucleotide long non-coding RNA. RefSeq lists it as uncharacterized. NCBI's taxonomy places the organism in Eukaryota, Metazoa, Chordata, Lepidosauria, Squamata, Varanidae. The transcript has 5 exons. The record is from RefSeq and is a predicted model, not a curated record.
AGUGGUUUGUGAAGCUUAUGUAUUCUCCUUGUUGGAGGAAAUUGAAUUUAGACAGGACAGGAGUGCUACUGGUGGGUAUUUCUGCCAGCCAGAACUUUUAAAAAAUUAUGCUUUUAGAAGCAAACACACCCCUCUUCAAAGCACGUGAUGGAGUUUUGACAUGCUCCUGAACAUGCAUUGGGUUGCUCACUUCACAGUUGUAGCUGGUAUGACCUCUCUCUCCACAGACAAAGGAUCUUGCCAGUGUCAUGUAUGUUACGAGUAUAUGUUCAGUUUAACUACCAUCAUGGGUGGCCUGGCCAACAGACAAAAUUGUUAUGUUGGCCACUAUCCUAUGUGGCUGCCUGUAACCCUCUAGACUCAGAAGGCUGUGGGCAUCCAAGUGAGUGUGCAGGAAUGGAGAGCCAAGGAUUGCUUCCAUGCUGCAAAACGCAGGCAGCUGCUUUGGGCUGUCUGUGCCUCUUCCCUCUGCUUUUGAGGAGGAGGGGCCAAGGCAGUGGCUGGGUAUUCAUUGAAUGGUGCCACCUUGCUCCUCCCCUCCCUGGCACCUGCCCAACACCAGCUCCCAAGAGGGUCUUCCAUCUCCAGACCCACAGCAGGCAUGGAAAGAAUCCUGGCCAUAAGGGCAGAGGGAGGCCCUUCAAGGACAGGGGCCAUGCUAUAGCCUUGGAGGGCUUUUCUGAGGUCACAAUGGAGACUCCAGCUUUACCUAUGACUUUUGAAACAGCCUCUAGUGCCAUAGGAUUGCACCCUAGAUGUGCUGUUAUUACAACUGUACUGCCAGGAAUGGCAAGAGGUGCUUGUGGGGUUGUCUGCCUCAGGGGCUGAGGUAACUCUGGCUCACUGCGCAGCUCGACGUGGAUGGCCAAGUGGAGUGUGCCAUUUGCUGCACUGAGGCUGGCCCUAACAGGAUGCACUUUACAUGGAGCUGUCCUUGACCUCCAUUCUGAUAUUCCACCUAGUCCUGAAUGCACCAGUGCUAUUUUUCUUAGGUACAGACAGUCCCUGGGUUACAGCUGAGUUCUGUUACUGAGAACAUCCUUAAAUCAAUUUUUAUGGAAAUGUAAGUUGGAUCACAUGAGGAAGCCAAAUGAUUAUCUUAGUAUUUACCUUUCUAUGCAUAUAGAACACUUAAGAAACACUUCCAUAUUCACUUAAACACCUUAAACAGAACACAUGUUAAUGAUAGUAAUACAGUAAUAAUAAAGUAACUACAGUUACUGGAGAGAGAAUCUGUAUAUAUGAGUGUAGUUAUUCAGUACUGUAAAAAAGCCCAGUUCUUAAAACAGUUUAGAAUAUUCUUGAAGUAUUAUUAAGCCUAACAUUACCUGAUGAU